RNAcentral lists this ribosomal RNA (484 nucleotides) under uncultured bacterium. Its description in RNAcentral is "partial 16S ribosomal RNA". It matches the Rfam family "Bacterial small subunit ribosomal RNA", at positions 30 to 507 of the family's 1533-position model. The record is from RNAcentral.
AUUGAACGCUGGCGGCAGGCCUAACACAUGCAAGUCGAGCGGUAGAGCGAAGCUUGCUUCUCUUGAGAGCGGCGGACGGGUGAGUAAUGCCUAGGAAUCUGCCUGGUAGUGGGGGAUAACGUUCGGAAACGGACGCUAAUACUGCAUACGUCCUACGGGAGAAAGCAGGGGACCUUCGGGCCUUGCGCUAUCAGAUGAGCCUAGGUCGGAUUAGCUAGUUGGUGGGGUAAUGGCUCACCAAGGCGACGAUCCGUAACUGGUCUGAGAGGAUGAUCAGUCACACUGGAACUGGGACACGGUCCAUACUCCUACGGGAGGCAGCAGUGGGGAAUAUUGGACAAUGGGCGAAAGCCUGAUCCAGCCAUGCCGCGUGUGUGAAGAGGGUCUUCGGAUUGUAAAGCACUUUAAGUUGGGAGGAAGGGCAGUAGAUUAAUACUUUGCUGUUUUGACGUUACCGACAGAAUAAGCACCGGCUAACUCUGUG